UACGGAGGGUGCGAGCGUUGUCCGGAAUCACUGGGCGUAAAGGGCGCGUAGGCGGCCUGGUAAGUAGGGGGUGAAAUCCUGCGGCUUAACCGCAGGGCUGCCUUCUAAACUGUCAGGCUCGAGCACAGUAGAGGCAGGUGGAAUUCCCGGUGUAGCGGUGGAAUGCGUAGAGAUCGGGAAGAACAUCAGUGGCGAAGGCGGCGAUCUGGGUCGAUACUGACGCUGAGGUGCGAAAGCGUGGGGAGCAAACAGG
RNAcentral lists this ribosomal RNA (253 nucleotides) under uncultured bacterium. RNAcentral's name for it is "partial 16S ribosomal RNA". It matches the Rfam family "Bacterial small subunit ribosomal RNA", at positions 524 to 776 of the family's 1533-position model. The record is from RNAcentral.